RNAcentral lists this long non-coding RNA (1891 nucleotides) under Homo sapiens (human). Its description in RNAcentral is "non-protein coding lnc-PEX7-2:5". The record is from RNAcentral. Lineage: Eukaryota; Metazoa; Chordata; Mammalia; Primates; Hominidae.
AGUCCGGAGCUUCCGGUCGCCGCGGCCGACCAGCUGAGGGCUCCCGGAGAUAUGGAGCGGGGUCAGCGAGGCCUGGUGGCGCCUCCUGGAGUCUGGGACGAGCGGCGGUCCGAGGAGCAGCCCAGGUGGGGCGAGGGUACGGAGACGCUAUUUCCCUCCGAACUCUGAAGUAGCCAGGUCAGUGUCGGCUCCGCGAGGGCUGGAGUUCACGGUGACAGCCGGCAGAGCAUCUGAUGCCACGUGGAGAGGCGAAGUACAUGGGUCGGAUUCCACGCUGGGAGCCGGCCUGGAUCUGCGCUUUAGGAAGCCACUGCGGGCGACCCUAUCUUGUCGCCAGGACUUCGCAUCUGAUGAGCCUCAGGGCACACAAGUUAGAGAGGCUUGUGCCGGCUGAUGUGGCUUUUCUUUUUCUUAGUUUCCGUUUAGUAAACGACCUUGUGACUUCUGGCUUGCUCAGGAAGACCAGAAAAAAAGGCAAUAGGUAACGAAUUUUUCUUUUUUUAAAGAAACAGAUUAUUGGCCGAGGAAAAACCAAUUUCGCUCUAAAGGAUAAGCAACAAAAUACUGAGGGGGGAAAAAGCCUACACAAAUGGAAACAUACGGCACAAAAUCAAGGAGCGACCAGUUCCGCAUGGUUACACUAAAAUGCACUGCACUCCCACUCUCUGGCUUGGCUGAAGAUAACCAGCAAGCUCUGAACAGUUUAAAAGCCUUCCAAGGACUGCAGCAGCACUGGACACACAAGAGAGUCGAGAACAGUAUUGGAUUUAUUGUUAGGGUUACAAUUUUCACGAUCUUUGCAUGCAAAACUUGCCACUCUGAGCCCAGUGAACUAUUUUUAUUUGGUUUACUUACUGGCUUUCUGGAUGACUAGGUAGAGCUUUAACUAAAGAACACUUCUGCUGUGGUCUGUGAUGAUGAAUUUUCCCGUAGUGUCAUUUCUAUAAUGGAAUAGGCAAACUGACCAUUUAGAAUGUGAUAUUCCUAAAUCACAUUCAAAUCAGUCUUAUCAGAGACUUCUAAUCAAUAAAAAUAAAGCACCAGAUGGCUAGAGGUAGUUUUUGACCUCAGCUUGGGCCUCAGCAAAGAUUUUUUGUGUUUUUUUUAACUACAUUAAAACAUCAGAGUUUAAGACACUUUUCUUUGAGCAUCAGAAAUACUCUCAGCUGAAUUUAGAGUUGAACUAUCCGGAAGAACCCUGGAGAAGGAGGGUGAUUUAUUUUCAACUUUCUGAUUUACCACCGACUUAAAUCAACCAAUGAGUUCUUUCUUUGACCAAAAAAAAAAAAAAAAAAAAAAAAAAAAAAAAAAAAAUUCAAGACUUGUGAUGUUUCUAUUUGUUUUGUUUUGUUUAGUUUGGUGUGUGCUUACUCAUUGUCCCAUUCUUUUGAUAACCUGUAUUUAUCUGCCACAAGUUAAACAAAAAUAAAUGAAAUAAGGAACACACCAAAAUCCUGCACUUAGGCCCUGUAUAGACAGUGUGUUCCAAACCUAAGGAGGUGUCUGCAACAGGGGAGGCUGCUGAGUGACUCUGCAGAGAACAGAUGACAUCUGUUAAAUGUCAAACACCAUCACGUCGUACUUCAAGUUGUACUUUACUUGGAACAUGGAAGCCAUCUGUCUGGAGCUCCCACAUCCAUUUCAAAUCUUCAGGGUUCCCCAUUCCAGGGGAGGAGCUGAACCUCCUGACACCGUCCACUUCCCUCCUGCCUCCUUCAAACAUCAUCCCUUUUUUCUCCCGAAUCCCUAAAUGUUUCUGCACCCAAGGGCUCUACCCCAAUAAACACAGCUAAGACUCUUUGAUUCUUAAAAUGUCUUCCUUUAACGUCCCACCCUCCAGAAUCUAUUGUCGUAUGUUUUGUUCACCAAAGGUAAUAAAAAUAAAUGUGGA